AUGAGGCGAACCGGGGGAACUGAAACAUCUAAGUACCCCGAGGAAAAGAAAUCAACCGAGAUUCCCCCAGUAGCGGCGAGCGAACGGGGAGGAGCCCAGAGCCUGAAUCAGUGUGUGUGUUAGUGGAAGCGUCUGGAAAGGCGCGCGAUACAGGGUGACAGCCCCGUACACAAAAAUGCACAUGCUGUGAGCUCGAUGAGUAGGGCGGGACACGUGGUAUCCUGUCUGAAUAUGGGGGGACCAUCCUCCAAGGCUAAAUACUCCUGACUGACCGAUAGUGAACCAGUACCGUGAGGGAAAGGCGAAAAGAACCCCGGCGAGGGGAGUGAAAAAGAACCUGAAACCGUGUACGUACAAGCAGUGGGAGCACAGAGCAAUCUGUGUGACUGCGUACCUUUUGUAUAAUGGGUCAGCGACUUAUAUUCUGUAGCAAGGUUAACCGAAUAGGGGAGCCGAAGGGAAACCGAGUCUUAACUGGGCGUUAAGUUGCAGGGUAUAGACCCGAAACCCGGUGAUCUAGCCAUGGGCAGGUUGAAGGUUGGGUAACACUAACUGGAGGACCGAACCGACUAAUGUUGAAAAAUUAGCGGAUGACUUGUGGCUGGGGGUGAAAGGCCAAUCAAACCGGGAGAUAGCUGGUUCUCCCCGAAAGCUAUUUAGGUAGCGCCUCGUGAAUUCAUCUCCGGGGGUAGAGCACUGUUUCGGCAAGGGGGUCAUCCCGACUUACCAACCCGAUGCAAACUGCGAAUACCGGAGAAUGUUAUCACGGGAGACACACGGCGGGUGCUAACGUCCGUCGUGAAGAGGGAAACAACCCAGACCGCCAGCUAAGGUCCCAAAGUCAUGGUUAAGUGGGAAACGAUGUGGGAAGGCCCAGACAGCCAGGAUGUUGGCUUAGAAGCAGCCAUCAUUUAAAGAAAGCGUAAUAGCUCACUGGUCGAGUCGGCCUGCGCGGAAGAUGUAACGGGGCUAAACCAUGCACCGAAGCUGCGGCAGCGACGCUGAUGCGUUGUUGGGUAGGGGAGCGUUCUGUAAGCCUGUGAAGGUGUGCUGUGAGGCAUGCUGGAGGUAUCAGAAGUGCGAAUGCUGACAUAAGUAACGAUAAAGCGGGUGAAAAGCCCGCUCGCCGGAAGACCAAGGGUUCCUGUCCAACGUUAAUCGGGGCAGGGUGAGUCGACCCCUAAGGCGAGGCCGAAAGGCGUAGUCGAUGGGAAACAGGUUAAUAUUCCUGUACUUGGUGUUACUGCGAAGGGGGGACGGAGAAGGCUAUGUUGGCCGGGCGACGGUUGUCCCGGUUUA
RNAcentral lists this ribosomal RNA (1299 nucleotides) under Escherichia coli. RNAcentral describes it as "partial 23S ribosomal RNA". It matches the Rfam family "Bacterial large subunit ribosomal RNA", at positions 174 to 1514 of the family's 2925-position model. The record is from RNAcentral. Lineage: Bacteria; Pseudomonadati; Pseudomonadota; Gammaproteobacteria; Enterobacterales; Enterobacteriaceae.